RNAcentral lists this unclassified non-coding RNA (200 nucleotides) under soil metagenome. RNAcentral's name for it is "partial contains internal transcribed spacer 2 and large subunit ribosomal RNA". The record is from RNAcentral.
UGCCUGUUCGAGCGUCAUUAUAACCCUCAAGCCUAGCUUGGUGUUGGAGCAUGCCUCUGGGCCGCUCUUAAAAUCAGUGGCGGUGCCAUCUGGCUCUAAGCGUAGUAAAUCUCUCGCUAUAGUGUCCGGUGGUUACUUGCCAAAACCCCCAAUUUUCUAUGGUUGACCUCGGAUCAGGUAGGGAUACCCGCUGAACUUAA